RNA transcript from Momordica charantia (bitter melon), 1988 nucleotides. It is a transcript of the gene named BCL-2-associated athanogene 4, with no coding region annotated. Lineage: Eukaryota; Viridiplantae; Streptophyta; Magnoliopsida; Cucurbitales; Cucurbitaceae. The record is from RefSeq and is a predicted model, not a curated record.
UAUUAUCUGAUCGGACCGACCAAAUAAUCUGGGUGGAUAAUCGUUUUGGUAUUCAUCUGAUUAGAAUUCAAGAAGAGAAUGGGCGGACCAGAAAUUUCUACAAUUUCGUGGUAGCAAUUCGAAUCGUGAUCAAAUUCGGUAGCCUAAAUUAAAAUCCCUUUUGCGAAACGAAAAUCCUCUCUUAAGUCGACUCCGAGUUCAAUAAACCUCGCCAAAUCUCUUUUGAUUAUUUGGGAUUUUCGAUUGAGGUUGAGAAUCGAGAGAUUGAGCGAUUGAGAGAUUGUACUGUGACUGUGAGUGUAAGAAUAUGACGGAAAAGAAUUCGUAUUCGAGUGGAUCGGCCACUGCGCAGGACGCGAAGAACGACGAAACCGAGUGGGAGAUGAGGCCAGGCGGCAUGCUCGUCCAGAAGCGAGAAGUUGACAAUGGCGCCGAUGUUUCUUCCAGUGGCCCCAUGAUCUCCGUCAGUGUUACUCACGGCCAUGGCCCUGCUAAGUACAAGAUUUUACUCCCUGCCCAAUCGACUUUCGGCGAUAUGAAGAAACACCUUGUGGCGAAGACCGGGUUACAGCCUGAAGAGCAGAGACUCCUGUUUCGAGGAAAGGAGAAAGAUGAUGAUGAGCACUUGCAUACUGCGGGCGUGAAGGAUAUGUCGAAGAUUUUGCUUUUGGAGAACCACACAAGCAAACAGAGGAAUGUGGAAGAUGUACAGAGGAAGGUGGAAGAUUUACAGAGGAAAGUGGAUGAUGUUAAGAUGAGUGGUGAGGUUUCAAAGGCAUUGGAAGCCAUUGCUGAGGUUCGAUCUGAAGUUGAUAAGCUUUCAGAUAGGGUUGCUGCCUUGGAAGUAGCUGUUAAUGGUGGUACAACUGUUGUAGACAAGGAAUUUGUAGUAUCAACAGAGCUGCUGAUGAGACAACUGUUGAAAUUGGAUAGUAUUGAUGCUGAAGGAGAAGCAAAGUUGCAGAGAAAGGCUGAGGCACGCUCUUUUUCGUUCCAUUCUAUACUAUUAGUACGCCGUGUCCAAAACUUCGUCGACACACUGGAUGCUCUGAAGGCACGAAACUCCAACCCAAUCAGCAACAAUCACAACAACACGGUUUCAGUGACAACCGAAUGGGAAACCUUCGACUCGGGAGUCAGUAGCUUGACUCCACCCUCCCCAGCUCCAUCUUCUACAACAGUAACCCAGGAUUGGGAACGGUUCGACUAGCUCAAAAACACAUGCAAAGAGACCAAAGCCUCGGCCCUGUUGUCACUGUCAUGACAUGUCCUGUUUCUUGUUUCCAUUAUUAUAAAUUCGUUAUGAAUGCCUUCUGAGCCAGCGGGGUCCUUCCUUACAGUUGCCUCGUCCCAUCAUCAGACACAACUCAUCCACUGGGUCUAAGUCAGAAGUCGAAUGUUAAAUGAUGUUUUGUUUAUAACCAAAAACCCACAAUAAAUUCCAUAACCGCUGGACCCUUUACUCUCACAGGGCCCAUUUUUCUUGCACAGUUUUAUGAUCAGCAUUUAGUACUGUACCCCCUCUUCUGCUUCUGCUCCCUAACAGGUCUUGCCAUUAUUCUUGAAUCUUGAUCAGAUCCCACCUCCUUCGGAGCUGCAUAUGUAUUUUUAUGGAAAUGAAAGUCGCUCAUAAAUUAUGUAUGUUGUGAUCGCAUGCUUAAACGGUUGGAUUUUGCAACCUCUUGUAGUGUAGCGGAAUCCAUGGAAAUCCUAAUUGGUAAUGAUCGAAAAAUAGUCACAAAUUGACAAUUCUUUUGUUCACAACUUAAGCGUAGGGCGUAAAAUUUUUCUUUAGUUUCUGUUUUGCAGGUUGGAGUGGUUUCUUUCUCUUGAGUUUGAGGGUAGUUGUAAUCAAACAAUUUGGACGAUGAUUGUUCAAAUUAAAAGUUUGAGGGUGUGAUUGUAAUCCAACUUGAUAGUUCACUUUGAGUACUGUGAUGAGAGUGUAUUUUAUUUAACCUCCAUUGAAGAAUAUUCAAUUUAUGAAA